Cydia splendana is the source of this 1426-nucleotide long non-coding RNA. RefSeq lists it as uncharacterized. The record is from RefSeq and is a predicted model, not a curated record. Lineage: Eukaryota; Metazoa; Arthropoda; Insecta; Lepidoptera; Tortricidae. The transcript has 2 exons.
GUAAAAAAACGAGAGUUCUCUGAAAAGUACUCAAGUCUCUACAAGAGACUUGGGUCUCUAUCUAGUUGAAAAGAACUCGAGUUUAAAUUUAAACUUAAUUAUAAGAGUCUGAAAAUUGAGUAGAGUCUUCAAGCAGAGGACUGCAAGGACUCGAGUACUACCCAGCACUAUCCGAGCCGACCGGGACGUCCGAGCUGACUGUUCAUGACAAAUGUCAUAAUAAAUGUCAAUCAGAUUGAAAAAAAUAGUUCGAUCGGAAGCAAGCGGAUAUGGAAGGAAAUAAUAAAAUCAAAAUAUUGGCCCUGGCUGCCUUAAUGACUGAUGAAGAGGCUACUGCACAUUCUAGGUAAUGGGGCGUACAUCCACUUUGGUCGACACGUUCGGAAAAAUGAGAAUACACAGCAUGAUGUAAAGAGCUUUAUUUACAUAUGACCCAAGACUCUUUCGAAGCCGUUCACUGCAGAAUUAAACAACGUUUAACAAAAACAAAAACUCUGGCUCUCUGCUUAAGGUAAGAUAUGGAAAUACAAAGCAUGUACCUACUAAUAAAUAUGUAUAAUCAAGUGCCGAAACAUAUUAAGCUAUUAAGAGGAAAGGGAAUGACCGAUUCUCCAUACAAACAUAGUUCCCGUUUUCCUGACUGGAUAUUGAUAUUAUGGAAUAUUUAAGUAGCCUUCAGCAAACUGUAGUGAUACCCAAUGCAUUUUGCUACAUUCCACAAUUGUAGAUUUUUCAGCUUAUCGGGUUGUGACAUUAUUUUCUCCCAUCAAACCCACGUUCUUCAGUGUUCAUGUGUUCAGUUCAGAUUUGUUCAGUUCCAGGAACGCAUAAGAAACGAGUUUAAAAGAGAAGAAAUUUACAAUGGCUGCGAAAAUGUAACAAAAAUGUAAAGUAUCGAUAUAAGAUAAUUAUCUUCAAGCUGUUUUCGGCCACAGCGAAUACAGUACAGCACUACGAAUGUCGGUGGUACGCUCUUAAUAAAAUAAGCAGUUCAUAUUACCAGUGACGUGACUAUAUCAUCAUAUCAGCCUUUUAUCGCCCACUGCUGAGCAUAGGCCUCUCUUCGAGUACGCCACUUGUCCCGGUCCCGAGCCAAUCUCGUCCAGAAGUGACCCGCAGUCUUCCGGAUGUCAUCCACCCAACGAGCCAACGGACGCCAGGCACUCCUUUCGUCUGUAAGCGGCCACCAUUCCGUUAACAUUUUGGCCCACCUGCCAUCACUCUGCCUGGCAACUUGUCCCGCCCAGCUCCAUUAAAGUUUGGUAAUGACGUAUCCGACUUCUUGCAACUUGGUGCGACGUCGAAUCUCUACAUUCCUCACUCGAUCUUGAAGUUUGAUGCCGGGCAUGGCGCGCUCCAUGGCUCUUUGUGCCACUUAGAUUUUAUGCAUGACGUGACUAUAUAGGAAAAUAUAAAUAAAAAUAAA